AAGUCACCCCAAGUUCUAGGCCAAGCUGGACUACUUAUUGAUGCUCUGAAAAAAGGAAGUAAGGAAAGAAAGAGGGAGAGAGGCAGGGAAGGAAGGGAUGAGAAAGGAAGAGUCAACAGUCUAAGGGUCCUCGGGAUGUGCUUCAGUGGUAGAGAAGUUCCCUAACACGUGCAAGGCUUCUGAUAGUUCUGAUCCCUGUUGUCAUCAGUGCCACCACUAAAAAGUAAAGAAAAAAAUCAGCCAACCAAACACCCACCACCGUAUGAGGACAGAACGGUGCAGCAUGUCAGAAUGCUACUCAGAAUGGCAUGUAGCUUAAAGUCUCUGAAUUACUUGUUUCUGAAAUUUCCUGUUUAGUUUUUUUCAGACCACAGGUGAUGUAAGUAACUGAAACUGUGGAAACAAAAGCCAUGCAUCAUAGGAAAUCGUUGUACACAAACAUCCCCUAAAACAUCAAGAAGAAGGUGAUUCAAAACCUCAGUAGAUGGAAAGUUAAAAACAGGUAAUUCAAGGAAAAUCCAGAUAACCAGCCACCCAACCACUCUUCCAAAGUAAAGCCAUAGAAAUAGAUGUGAAACUGUUAGCAACCAGUGACACACAAAAAUAAAAGCAUUAACAGACAGUCAUCAAGCACAGUGACAGAAAGAGUAUUCAGUUGUUAGAGUAAAUGGAGGUGAUGCUAGGAGAUGGGAAGAAAGACCAAGCAAGGGAUGGCACUGGCUGAGCAGCAGCGCUUGUUCUGCAAGCCUGAGUCUGAGUCCCAGCAACCCUCAUGCAAAAAGCCAGGCCGGGUGGCAGUGGUCUGAAUCAGCAUGGCCCCUUAGACAAAUGUGUCUGAGUGCUUGAUCCCCAGUUGGUGAACUCUUUAGGGAGGUUAGGAGAUAUAUUCUUGUUGGAGAAAUUUGUCACUUGGGGUAGGUAUUGAGGUUUCAGAAACCCACAGCAUUCCUAAGACAUUAUGAAAAAAUCAGAAAUAGACUCAAAUAUAUUUAUAUAUUGUGAGAAUAAAUGGUGAUACUUGAGAUCAGUAGGAGAAAUAUGAAUUACUCAAUAAAUAAUAAUGGGACAACUAGUCAUAUAGGAGAAAAUAGUUUGCAUUUCUACCAACCAGUUGUAACAAAAUGAAGUUCAAAUGGGGAUUUAGAUGUAAGAAACAAAAGAACUAGGAAAUAUAUAAGGGGAUAUGUCACAAAACUCAGAAGCCAUUAAGGAAUCUGUAAGGGAAAUUCAGUAUUCCAGACUCAAAAGAUAAAUGGGCUGGGCCUGCUGCCUCACCAUACUUCUAAUCUCAGCACAUGGGAGGCAGAGGCAGAUAACUGUGAGUUCAAGGCCAGCCUGGUCUAGUGAGUUCUGUGCCACUUGGCACUACACAGUGAGACUGCCUCAGGGAGGGAAGAGAUGGGUAAAUGCAGAGGUGGCAGUGAUUCUGUGUUUGAAUACUUGUGUGCUUUGGAUUGAAUCAGAGCCUUGGAGUGCUAGGCAAGUGCUCUAUUAUCAAACUCAACCGCCAAAACUACUUUUUAAAAAUAUGUAAAGAGAAUAAAUAAAAAUGACCCAACAACCAAUAGAAAAAAUGCAAGAGUAUCUGCUGGUUUACAGACCUGACAUUAAAGUAGUUCUUAACAAUAUACGUCUUUACUGUUACUGAGAAAUGAAACUUGGCUAGGUGGAAUAUUCCUGUAAUCUCCUCAUUUAGAGUCAGAGGCAGGAGGAUCACAACAAUUUUACAUUGGGCUGGGCUAUCUAAAAAGACCUUGUAUCAGAAGC
Molecule: long non-coding RNA, 1767 nt
Filed under: Mus musculus (house mouse)
Lineage: Eukaryota; Metazoa; Chordata; Mammalia; Rodentia; Muridae
Description: long non-coding RNA chr4:127114876-127116643
Source: RNAcentral